This 211-nucleotide long non-coding RNA is filed under the name Phaseolus vulgaris (common bean). Its description in RNAcentral is "long non-coding RNA (PVUL_LNC000373)". The record is from RNAcentral. Lineage: Eukaryota; Viridiplantae; Streptophyta; Magnoliopsida; Fabales; Fabaceae.
UUCUUUCUUGCCCUUAUCGUUUGGAAAUCUUUUUCAAAGGUGAAAUAUUCUUCUCAUCUCUUUCCUUAAUUCAUUUUAGCUUUUAUUUUAAGAAAAUUCUUCUUGCAUCAUAUCAAUUUGUGUAGGAACUAAAAUGAAAUAACACGUAAAAUUGGAAGGGAAUUGAAUUCACUACAAAUUGAAAUGAACAUUAGGCAUUUUAUAGCCUUUU